UACGGAGGGUCCAAGCGUUAUCCGGAAUCAUUGGGUUUAAAGGGUCCGUAGGCGGUUUUGUAAGUCAGUGGUGAAAGCCCAUCGCUCAACGGUGGAACGGCCAUUGAUACUGCAAGACUUGAAUUAUUAGGAAGUAACUAGAAUAUGGUAGUGUAGCGGUGAAAUGCUUAGAGAUUACGAUGGAAUACCAAUGCGAAGGCA
Molecule: ribosomal RNA, 201 nt
Filed under: uncultured bacterium
Lineage: Bacteria
Description: partial 16S ribosomal RNA
Rfam family: Bacterial small subunit ribosomal RNA
Source: RNAcentral